Long non-coding RNA from Sphaeramia orbicularis (orbiculate cardinalfish), 209 nucleotides. RefSeq lists it as uncharacterized. The transcript has 3 exons. The record is from RefSeq and is a predicted model, not a curated record. Lineage: Eukaryota; Metazoa; Chordata; Actinopteri; Kurtiformes; Apogonidae.
UUCACAUGUAAAUAAAUGUGUGUGCAUUUAACCUUUUUCUCCAGCUCAGUGGCCUUAGCCUCACUGGUUUCCACCUUGGUCUGGUCCACCAUGUUGUCUGUCCAGCCUUCAACAUUGAGGCUAAGGUUACGGCACUUAAAGUCAGGGUCUGCUCCAUUCCUGUGAAGCACGAUCUGGGCGAUACACUCGUCUAUCAACUUGUAGUACUG